Molecule: long non-coding RNA, 351 nt
Organism: Zophobas morio
Lineage: Eukaryota; Metazoa; Arthropoda; Insecta; Coleoptera; Tenebrionidae
Exons: 2
Source: RefSeq, a predicted model, not a curated record
CUUUUAAAAGAAAACAUAAAAAAAGUAAAAAUGUUUUACUCAACAUGUUUGGCUUUUUUUGUUCUUGUCAUAUAUUCGUCCCAUGCUAGUUCCAUUUGUUCUGAUGGCGCCACCUAUAUUCCACACGAAGACUGUACAAAAUUUUACCAAUGUUCUAAUGGUAGACCGUAUACCUUUGACUGCCCAGCUGGACUGUAUUUUAAUCCUGGAAUUUUUGUUUGCGACUGGCCGGAGCAUUCUGGAUGUGAAGGAGUGAGAAACUAAACGCAAUUGUCAACUGUGUAUUGUUUAUAUUUAUUUGCUUGUUGAAUAAUUAAUGUACCGACAAAAUAAAUUAUUUUGAGAAGUUAA